CGGUGGAUCAUGUUGUUAAUUCGACGAUACGCGAAGACCUUACCAGGUCUUGACAUCCCCUGCAAAGCUAUGGAGACAUAGUGGAGGUUAUCAGGGAGACAGGUGGUGCAUGGUUGUCGUCAGCUCGUGUCGUGAGAUGUUGGGUUAAGUCCCGCAACGAGCGCAACCCUUAUUGCUAGUUACCAUCAUUAAGUUGGGGACUCUAGCGAGACUGCCAGUGAUAAACUGGAGGAAGGUGGGGAUGACGUCAAAAUCAUCAUGCCCCUUUAUGACCUGGGCUACAAACGUGAUACAAUGGCUGAAACAAAGGGCAGCGAAGGAGCGAUCUGGAGCGAAACCCAAAAAGCAGUCUCAGUUCGGAUUGAAGUCUGCAACUCGACUUCAUGAAGUCGGAAUCGCUAGUAAUCGCGGAUCAGAACGCCGCGGUGAAUACGUUCUCGGGGUUU
This 446-nucleotide ribosomal RNA is filed under the name uncultured Acholeplasma sp. RNAcentral describes it as "bacterial SSU rRNA". It matches the Rfam family "Bacterial small subunit ribosomal RNA", at positions 930 to 1382 of the family's 1533-position model. The record is from RNAcentral. Lineage: Bacteria; Bacillati; Mycoplasmatota; Mollicutes; Acholeplasmatales; Acholeplasmataceae.